RNAcentral lists this ribosomal RNA (2923 nucleotides) under Klebsiella pneumoniae. Its description in RNAcentral is "bacterial LSU rRNA". It matches the Rfam family "Bacterial large subunit ribosomal RNA". Lineage: Bacteria; Pseudomonadati; Pseudomonadota; Gammaproteobacteria; Enterobacterales; Enterobacteriaceae. The record is from RNAcentral.
GGGUUGUGAGGUUAAGCGACUAAGCGUACACGGUGGAUGCCCUGGCAGUCAGAGGCGAUGAAGGACGUGCUAAUCUGCGAAAAGCGUCGGUAAGGUGAUAUGAACCGUUAUAACCGGCGAUGUCCGAAUGGGGAAACCCAGUGCAAUUCGUUGCACUAUCGUUAACUGAAUACAUAGGUUAACGAGGCGAACCGGGGGAACUGAAACAUCUAAGUACCCCGAGGAAAAGAAAUCAACCGAGAUUCCCCCAGUAGCGGCGAGCGAACGGGGAGCAGCCCAGAGUCUGAAUCAGCUUGUGUGUUAGUGGAACGGUCUGGAAAGUCCGACGGUACAGGGUGAUAGUCCCGUACACCAAAAUGCACAGGCUGUGAACUCGAAGAGUAGGGCGGGACACGUGGUAUCCUGUCUGAAUAUGGGGGGACCAUCCUCCAAGGCUAAAUACUCCUGACUGACCGAUAGUGAACCAGUACCGUGAGGGAAAGGCGAAAAGAACCCCGGCGAGGGGAGUGAAAAAGAACCUGAAACCGUGUACGUACAAGCAGUGGGAGCACCUUCGGGUGUGACUGCGUACCUUUUGUAUAAUGGGUCAGCGACUUAUAUUCUGUAGCAAGGUUAACCGUAUAGGGGAGCCGCAGGGAAACCGAGUCUUAACUGGGCGUUAAGUUGCAGGGUAUAGACCCGAAACCCGGUGAUCUAGCCAUGGGCAGGUUGAAGGUUGGGUAACACUAACUGGAGGACCGAACCGACUAAUGUUGAAAAAUUAGCGGAUGACUUGUGGCUGGGGGUGAAAGGCCAAUCAAACCGGGAGAUAGCUGGUUCUCCCCGAAAGCUAUUUAGGUAGCGCCUCGUGAAUUCAUCUUCGGGGGUAGAGCACUGUUUCGGCUAGGGGGUCAUCCCGACUUACCAACCCGAUGCAAACUACGAAUACCGAAGAAUGUUAUCACGGGAGACACACGGCGGGUGCUAACGUCCGUCGUGAAGAGGGAAACAACCCAGACCGCCAGCUAAGGUCCCAAAGUCAUGGUUAAGUGGGAAACGAUGUGGGAAGGCACAGACAGCCAGGAUGUUGGCUUAGAAGCAGCCAUCAUUUAAAGAAAGCGUAAUAGCUCACUGGUCGAGUCGGCCUGCGCGGAAGAUGUAACGGGGCUAAACCAUGCACCGAAGCUGCGGCAGCGACACUAUGUGUUGUUGGGUAGGGGAGCGUUCUGUAAGCCUGCGAAGGUGACCUGUGAGGGUUGCUGGAGGUAUCAGAAGUGCGAAUGCUGACAUAAGUAACGAUAAAGCGGGUGAAAAGCCCGCUCGCCGGAAGACCAAGGGUUCCUGUCCAACGUUAAUCGGGGCAGGGUGAGUCGACCCCUAAGGCGAGGCCGAAAGGCGUAGUCGAUGGGAAACAGGUUAAUAUUCCUGUACUUGGUGUUACUGCGAAGGGGGGACGGAGAAGGCUAUGUUAGCCGGGCGACGGUUGUCCCGGUUUAAGCAUGUAGGCUGGUUGUCCAGGCAAAUCCGGAUAAUCAAGGCUGAGGUGUGAUGACGAGGCACUACGGUGCUGAAGUAACAAAUGCCCUGCUUCCAGGAAAAGCCUCUAAGCAUCAGGUAACAUCAAAUCGUACCCCAAACCGACACAGGUGGUCAGGUAGAGAAUACCAAGGCGCUUGAGAGAACUCGGGUGAAGGAACUAGGCAAAAUGGUGCCGUAACUUCGGGAGAAGGCACGCUGGUGUGUAGGUGAAGUCCCUGCGGAUGGAGCUGAGACCAGUCGAAGAUACCAGCUGGCUGCAACUGUUUAUUAAAAACACAGCACUGUGCAAACACGAAAGUGGACGUAUACGGUGUGACGCCUGCCCGGUGCCGGAAGGUUAAUUGAUGGGGUUAUCCGUAAGGAGAAGCUCUUGAUCGAAGCCCCGGUAAACGGCGGCCGUAACUAUAACGGUCCUAAGGUAGCGAAAUUCCUUGUCGGGUAAGUUCCGACCUGCACGAAUGGCGUAAUGAUGGCCAGGCUGUCUCCACCCGAGACUCAGUGAAAUUGAACUCGCUGUGAAGAUGCAGUGUACCCGCGGCAAGACGGAAAGACCCCGUGAACCUUUACUAUAGCUUGACACUGAACAUUGAGCCUUGAUGUGUAGGAUAGGUGGGAGGCUUUGAAGCGUGGACGCCAGUCUGCGUGGAGCCAACCUUGAAAUACCACCCUUUAAUGUUUGAUGUUCUAACGUUGGCCCCUGACCGGGGUUGCGGACAGUGUCUGGUGGGUAGUUUGACUGGGGCGGUCUCCUCCCAAAGCGUAACGGAGGAGCACGAAGGUUAGCUAAUCCUGGUCGGACAUCAGGAGGUUAGUGCAAUGGCAUAAGCUAGCUUGACUGCGAGCGUGACGGCGCGAGCAGGUGCGAAAGCAGGUCAUAGUGAUCCGGUGGUUCUGAAUGGAAGGGCCAUCGCUCAACGGAUAAAAGGUACUCCGGGGAUAACAGGCUGAUACCGCCCAAGAGUUCAUAUCGACGGCGGUGUUUGGCACCUCGAUGUCGGCUCAUCACAUCCUGGGGCUGAAGUAGGUCCCAAGGGUAUGGCUGUUCGCCAUUUAAAGUGGUACGCGAGCUGGGUUUAGAACGUCGUGAGACAGUUCGGUCCCUAUCUGCCGUGGGCGCUGGAGAAUUGAGGGGGGCUGCUCCUAGUACGAGAGGACCGGAGUGGACGCAUCACUGGUGUUCGGGUUGUCAUGCCAAUGGCACUGCCCGGUAGCUAAAUGCGGAAGAGAUAAGUGCUGAAAGCAUCUAAGCACGAAACUUGCCCCGAGAUGAGUUCUCCCUGAGACUUUAAGUCUCCUGAAGGAACGUUGAAGACGACGACGUUGAUAGGCCGGGUGUGUAAGCGCAGCGAUGCGUUGAGCUAACCGGUACUAAUGAACCGUGAGGCUUAACCUUACAACGCCGAAG